RNAcentral lists this non-coding RNA (566 nucleotides) under unclassified sequences. RNAcentral's name for it is "ROOL RNA". It matches the Rfam family "ROOL RNA". From Rfam's summary of the family: Firmicutes, Fusobacteria (1 example), Tenericutes (1 example). Environment (Cow rumen (57)) The record is from Rfam by way of RNAcentral.
AUUUUAGUGAAUAUAUACUAUUAUCUCAGUGAAAACAUAAUUUCGCAGAUUAUGCUGAGGUAUACUGAAAUGGUCGGUAGUAUACGAAACAAGGAUACUUGUGGAAAUUACCGUUUUUUAUGCAGUGAUGUUUAAAAUGAAUCAAUAAAUCAAAGGUGUAGCACUAUUAUAAUCGCAGAUAAAAGCAACUAUCAUGUCGGUAACGCAAUAGACGCAUCAGAUGAUGAAGAAUCCAAGUUAGGAAAUUAGUUGGUUACUAACUUCACACCUUGGAAAUGCCAUAAGUUAUUUCGCUAUGAAGCAAGGAAACUUGUGUAUAAGAUGUGUAUAGGGUCUAAGUAGGCAAAGGCGAAGAAAUAAAUUUUAUAAGAGGAUUUAUAGAAAAUUAAUGAUAAUGAAUUGUUGCUGAAAGGUGUAGGUAAUCAUUCCUAUUAAGGCUUGAAGUUAUUUGUGGCAGGAAUGUUAUAAGGUCGCUACUUAUAGCACAUACCUGUUUCCCUUGUGGCUGAAUAUAUCUGAAGAUUGUAUUUAGUAGAAUGAAGAUUCAAUAGUAUAUGUUCAAUAAA